RNAcentral lists this ribosomal RNA (429 nucleotides) under bacterium. RNAcentral describes it as "partial 16S ribosomal RNA". It matches the Rfam family "Bacterial small subunit ribosomal RNA", at positions 355 to 776 of the family's 1533-position model. The record is from RNAcentral.
UAGGGAAUCUUCGGCAAUGGGGGCAACCCUGACCGAGCAACGCCGCGUGAGUGAAGAAGGUUUUCGGAUCGUAAAGCUCUGUUGUAAGUCAAGAACGGGUGUGAGAGUGGAAAGUUCACACUGUGACGGUAGCUUACCAGAAAGGGACGGCUAACUACGUGCCAGCAGCCGCGGUAAUACGUAGGUCCCGAGCGUUGUCCGGAUUUAUUGGGCGUAAAGCGAGCGCAGGCGGUUUGAUAAGUCUGAAGUUAAAGGCUGUGGCUCAACCAUAGUUCGCUUUGGAAACUGUCAAACUUGAGUGCAGCAGGGGAGAGUGGAAUUCCAUGUGUAGCGGUGAAAUGCGUAGAUAUAUGGAGGAACACCGGUGGCGAAAGCGGCUCUCUGGUCUGUAACUGACGCUGAGGCUCGAAAGCGUGGGGAGCGAACAGG